GAUCGAAGCCCCAGUAAACGGCGGCCGUAACUAUAACGGUCCUAAGGUAGCGAAAUUCCUUGUCGGGUAAGUUCCGACCCGCACGAAUGGCGUAACGAUGGCCACACUGUCUCCUCCCGAGACUCAGCGAAGUUGAAGUGGUUGUGAAGAUGCAAUCUACCCGCUGCUAGACGGAAAGACCCCGUGAACCUUUACUGUAGCUUUGCAUUGGACUUUGAAGUCACUUGUGUAGGAUAGGUGGGAGGCUUUGAAGCAGAGACGCCAGUCUCUGUGGAGCCGUCCUUGAAAUACCACCCUGGUGUCUUUGAGGUUCUAACCCAGACCCGUAAUCCGGGUCGGGGACCGUGCAUGGUAGGCAGUUUGACUGGGGCGGUCUCCUCCCAAAGAGUAACGGAGGAGUUCGAAGGUUACCUAGGUCCGGUCGGAAAUCGGACUGAUAGUGCAAUGGCAAAAGGUAGCUUAACUGCGAGACCGACAAGUCGAGCAGGUGCGAAAGCAGGACAUAGUGAUCCGGUGGUUCUGUAUGGAAGGGCCAUCGCUCAACGGAUAAAAGGUACUCCGGGGAUAACAGGCUGAUUCCGCCCAAGAGUUCAUAUCGACGGCGGAGUUUGGCACCUCGAUGUCGGCUCAUCACAUCCUGGGGCUGUAGUCGGUCCCAAGGGUAUGGCUGUUCGCCAUUUAAAGUGGUACGUGAGCUGGGUUUAAAACGUCGUGAGACAGUUUGGUCCCUAUCUGCAGUGGGCGUUGGAAGUUUGACGGGGGCUGCUCCUAGUACGAGAGGACCGGAGUGGACGAACCUCUGGUGUACCGGUUGUAACGCCAGUUGCAUAGCCGGGUAGCUAAGUUCGGAAGAGAUAAGCGCUGAAAGCAUCUAAGCGCGAAACUCGCCUGAAGAUGAGACUUCCCUUGUGGUUUAACCACACUAAAGAGUCGUUCGAGACCAGGACGUUGAUAGGUGGGGUGUGGAAGCGCGGUAACGCGUGAAGCUAACCCAUACUAAUUGCUCGUGAGGCUUGACUCU
Molecule: ribosomal RNA, 1021 nt
Filed under: human metagenome
Description: bacterial LSU rRNA
Rfam family: Bacterial large subunit ribosomal RNA
Source: RNAcentral